UGAGGAAUAUUGGUCAAUGGGCGGGAGCCUGAACCAGCCAAGUCGCGUGAGGGAAGACGGUCCUAUGGAUUGUAAACCUCUUUUGUCGGGGAGCAAAGAGGCCACGUGUGGUCAAAAGCGAGAGUACCCGAAGAAAAAGCAUCGGCUAACUCCGUGCCGGCAGCCGCGGUAAUACGGAGGAUGCGAGCGUUAUCCGGAUUUAUUGGGUUUAAAGGGUGCGUAGGCGGGACGGUAAGUCAGCGGUAAAAAGUGCGGAGCUCAACUCCGUCGAGCCGUUGAAACUGCCGUUCUUGAGUGAGCGAGAAGUAUGCGGAAUGCGUGGUGUAGCGGUGAAAUGCAUAGAUAUCACGCAGAACUCCGAUUGCGAAGGCAGCAUACCGGCGCUCAACUGACGCUGAAGCACGAAGGCGUGGGUAUCGAACAGGAUUAGAUACC
RNAcentral lists this ribosomal RNA (435 nucleotides) under uncultured bacterium. RNAcentral's name for it is "bacterial SSU rRNA". It matches the Rfam family "Bacterial small subunit ribosomal RNA", at positions 355 to 786 of the family's 1533-position model. The record is from RNAcentral.